CAUACAGAAGGAAAGGCAAAUGUGUUAACUGGAUUAUUGUUCGUAGGAUCUAUUUUGUCUUAAAUGUUUUGGUGCUAAGUAAGUGUUUUGUGGUCAGUACUUAGAGCCAGUACUUCAUGAGAGACUAAAACUGUGAGGUUUGGGUCUGUCUCAAGUCUGCAGAGGUAGCCAUGGUUGAUACACUGGGGAUGCAACCCAAGAACUUGGUCUGUGUGUAGCAAAAAAAGACAGCUGGAGAUCUGGAGGAACAUUUAACUGGGCACUUGGAACAGCAAAGUGCAAACAGCCACAAGUUUUGUUUCUUCUUCUGUUGUCUAUAAAUAAAUGGCUUUUAGAAAAAUGGGUGGGCUUUUGCAUACGGGUUUAACCUUGGUGUUGUCAUGUGGCAGUUUGUGUUUGUUUUUUUUAAUAUGACAUAGUCAAAAACACAGUAUCAAAGGUAAGAACAAGUUCAUUACAUAGACACCAGUAAUGUAAAUAUCCCAGUUGUGUCAGAAUACUGGUUGGCUCCUGCUUCUCAGCUGAAAGAUAAUACAGCGAAAGAGGUUUUUGUUUUGUUGUCCUUUUCUUCACCAUUUAUUGCUCUGUUGUUUUCACCACUUGCCGUAUAUAAUCGAUUGGUUGUCCCCUGCUGUUACCAUGGAUAUUUAAUACAUUGACAUGGAAAAGAGACACAUUUUUAUGGAAAGGAAAAUGCAACUACAAAACUCCUCUUGUGCCUGUGCCGUAUUUAAUGUGGAUACAGUCAGUAAUGGCUUUCUGCUUCAUGUUCUUAUCUACCAUCUGCACAUAUGGAUAUCCAUCCUGCACCUCCUGUGUUGUGAGGCUGGUGCCUGGGAGAGCAUUAGGUGUGAAGUAGCUCCUUGUGUCCAUUCUCCCUCCCCGGAGCAGGUGAGAAGGGCCAGGUGCAGGUUUGUAGGUCAGUUGCUUUGAAACUCAGAAGCACUUAAUGGAAGAGUGGUAAAAGCUGCUCAUUCCAGUGGUCCAGCAUAAACAAGAAUCCAAGGCUCUCCCUUCAGACUCUUAGGUCUGGGUUUUUUGAGAUCAAAAGAGAAUGCAGUAUUUUGAACAAAAUGUGUAAGGGCCCACCCUUCCUGAAUUGCACUUUUGGUGGUAUGUUCUGUCCUCCAGCUGUAAGACACUACAGAAGGGUUUGGGUUUCUCCCCUUCCUGUCCUCCUUGACUAUAUAUCAUGAGAGAAAUUUAAUAGAUGUUUUUACAGAAGUCUCUGAUCCUACACUGCUCUCAUUGCACCUGAUUGUUCAGUGAGGAGAGCUGUUGAUCAUUAACAGUUUAAACCUAGCACCUCUAAUUCAUCAGAAGUUCAUGUAAUGUAUUACUUACAUUAGAUGUAGGUGCCAAAACUGACCUGUAAACCUAAAAUUAAAUUGGGACUACAAAAUUAAUUUCAUUUAGAUUGCGAAAAUUAGACUAUAAAUGGAAUUCCUGUGGGAACUGUGCAAAGCUUCUUUGACAUUGAUUUAAUGUAAUUCUUUUCUUAAUUGGGUAACUUUAAAUUGUGUAACUGGUACAUAGUUUUAACCAGCACAGAUCUGUAGCAAGUCUUGCAGUAAGAUGAGUACUAACAGGAACAUUCUGUGGUGUUUUUGAAUUUAAGGAUCGCAGUGUAUAGCUUUAUUGCAGAUGACUAGACAGUCAGGGGUCAUGCUCCCUCCCCAAACCUCAUCAGAUAGGUAUUGAUACGAAGCUAUCAUGUCAUUUGUUGAACAUCUCCAUCCAGUCAAUACAUUUUAAUUUAUAAAAUGUGCAUGCACAGGAUAACACCAAUUCAGGGUAAAGACUUAUUUUGUGGUAAAAACUGAAUUCAGAAUCUGAAUUUCAAGUCAUAACCAUUAACACUUAAUUUGGGAAAAUUUUGAAUUAAAGACUUAAUUUUUCAAAUUAGACCCAGGAAUUCAAGGUCUGAGUAGCUCUUCAACAAAAAUUCACAUUCUCUUAAUAGAUGGCAAGUGUGUGUGCUUGUUUUAUGCAUGAAAUUAAAUUGAGGGCUGAAAUUAUUCUGAAUCAUUCAAAGGUUCAUGCUCUAGAUGACAGCAUAUUCUGCUUGGUAUGCUGCUAGUAACAGUAUUAAAUUUUCCUUUUUUUCUUUAGAUUUAGCCAUAUUCUUGUUGGUUUUAAAGAUAACAUGUUCAGAUCUGCUUCUUCAAGUUUUACUCUGCCUGUGAGUAAAUUCAGAGGGCUGCAUUAACACAUGCACUGUCUGUGUAUGAGAGCUUGGGCAUUAGAUUCUCUCUGCAGGGGAACGUUUAGGGCACUUGAGGUAAUUUGACCUAUGAAAACACUGAUUUUGAAUGUUUUACUGAAAAUAACUCUUAAUAUCCUGACACUCUGUAAAAUGUAUGACAGUGCUUUUAAGCAGGGAAGAAUAUGCUGAGUGCUGGGUCAUCUCAGAACUUGCUUGAAGUUUUCUGGGGUCUGUUACUCAGCAAGUAUUGUUUAGCACAGUAUUGUCAUGGUCCUUCUCUUAGUAGGUGCAAAAGCAGUUGUAGUGUUGGUCAGGCUGUGAAGAGCACAGCUGCACACCAGACCUCAAUCAUUUUAGAUUUCCAAAAUAAUCGCUAAAAGGCUGCCUUGCACAACACCUAAUUCAUCUGGGCACUAUUAAACAUCCUUUUGUAUCAGUAGAGUUCUUAAAAUGAAUUCUUCCAGACACAGCAUGUGCUCAUAGCAGGCAGCCCUUGCAUGUUCAUUCUCCCUUCGGCAUGCUUAGGUCUGAUCUUCUCAUCUUGUAGGUUUAAUGUCUUAAUUGUCUAUAUAUGUCCUUCCAAGAAGCCACUGCCCUUUCCUUGAUGAAGUCAAGUUUUUUUUCUUUCUAGGGUUUCAUUCCAAGGAAUGUCAAGGAACAAGCUUUUAAGACCCUACUGUACUGUAUUUGCAAAGAAAAAUAAAAUGUGACAAAUAGGAAUACACUUUAAAAUGGAAAAUCCUACCACCAGCAAAGACUUGAGAGAGCUUUUGGCAGCUAAAAAUAUAUGCACAUUCUUCUCCCAGCUCAUAAGAAAAAAUGGUACGGGAAAUUUGCACAAAUACAGUUCCAAAAAGGAAAAAGAGAAAGAGAAUCCUUCAGUAACAGAAAUUUAGAACAUCCUGAAUCCUCUCAUAUUACAGCUUGACCCAACCCUAUUCAAUAAUGAAAACAGUUUACAUCAAGAGGGGGAGGUAGAUUUGCCUUUCUGGUAAGGUGUAACUUUAUAAUUGAAGGUACUACUAAUAAAAUGUGUGUGUUGCAGAAGCAAAAAUGAGUCACAGCUUGAGACCUUCCCUGGCUUGACUAGAUGGGACUUUAAGCUACAAGAUAAAGCAUUAUAUGCAUUACUUUUGCAAUCUACAAUGAAAGUAGCCAUCUAUUAUUGGAUAUGUUCUGUAUUGCAAUCAUAAUAGUGUUAGCUGCUAGGACCAUAAAAACUGUUAAGGGAUAUGAAAACGCUUAAGCUAUAAAAAGCAUAUUUGUAUGAUUCUGUAGAUGCUGUGAUCAAAACACAAUGUGCUUCAAUAAAAAGAAAAUGCAAUUUAA
Long non-coding RNA from Pseudopipra pipra, 3535 nucleotides. RefSeq lists it as uncharacterized. The record is from RefSeq and is a predicted model, not a curated record. NCBI's taxonomy places the organism in Eukaryota, Metazoa, Chordata, Aves, Passeriformes, Pipridae. The transcript is spliced from 2 exons.